GCGCCUGUGGUUUAGUGGUAAAAUCCAUCGUUGCCAAUCAUAACUCUCGAUUCCGAGAGCUAAUGAAGAACCUCGAUGGGCCCCGGAUUCGAUUUCCGGCGGGCGCA
Non-coding RNA from Sclerotinia sclerotiorum 1980 UF-70, 107 nucleotides. Lineage: Eukaryota; Fungi; Ascomycota; Leotiomycetes; Helotiales; Sclerotiniaceae. The record is from the annotation of a RefSeq genome assembly.